GACAGAGGGUGCAAACGUUGCUCGGAAUUACUGGGCGUAAAGCGCGUGUAGGCGGACCGGAAAGUCGGGCGUGAAAUCCCUGGGCUCAACCCAGGAACUGCACUCGAAACUUCCGGCCUUGAGUGGUGGAGAGGGUAGUGGAAUUCCUGGUGUAGAGGUGAAAUUCGUAGAUAUCAGGAGGAACACCGGUGGCGAAGGCGGCUACCUGGACACUAACUGACGCUGAGACGCGAAAGCGUGGGGAGCAAACGGG
Molecule: ribosomal RNA, 253 nt
Filed under: uncultured bacterium
Lineage: Bacteria
Description: partial 16S ribosomal RNA
Rfam family: Bacterial small subunit ribosomal RNA
Source: RNAcentral